This 466-nucleotide ribosomal RNA is filed under the name uncultured bacterium. RNAcentral's name for it is "partial 16S ribosomal RNA". It matches the Rfam family "Bacterial small subunit ribosomal RNA", at positions 28 to 507 of the family's 1533-position model. The record is from RNAcentral.
GAUGAACGCUGGCGGCGUGCUUAACACAUGCAAGUCGAACGGAAAGGCUCCUGCUUGCAGGGGUACUCGAGUGGCGAACGGGUGAGUAACACGUGGGUGAUCUGCCCUUCACUUCGGGAUAUGCCUUGGAAACUCGGGCUAAUACCGGGUAGGACGAUGGUUUCGAUGCCAUUGUGGAAAGUUUGUCGGUGUGGGGUGAGCUCGCGGGGUAUCAGCUUGUUGGUGGGGUAAUGGGUUACCAAGGCGUCGACGGGUAGGCGGCCUGAGAGGGUGUACGGCCACCCUGGGACUGAGGUAAGGCCCCGGCACGGACGGGUGGCAGCAGUGGGGAAGCUUGCAGAAUGGGCGCCGGCCGGAUGCAGCGGGGCCGCGGGGGGGAUGACGGUCUUCGGGUUGAAAAAUAAAUGCGCUAGGGACGAAGCGUUUUGUGACGGUACCUGGAGAAGAAGCACCGGCUAACUACGUG